GACUAGUCCAAUGGUAGUGGGUUAUCAGGACUUAUUAACAUUAGUGUCACUAAAGUUGGUAUACAACCCUACAGUGCUAAAUUUGACUGGCUUUAA
This is a non-coding RNA of Callithrix jacchus (white-tufted-ear marmoset), 96 nucleotides long. NCBI's taxonomy places the organism in Eukaryota, Metazoa, Chordata, Mammalia, Primates, Cebidae. The record is from Rfam.